RNAcentral lists this ribosomal RNA (399 nucleotides) under uncultured bacterium. RNAcentral describes it as "bacterial SSU rRNA". It matches the Rfam family "Bacterial small subunit ribosomal RNA", at positions 28 to 431 of the family's 1533-position model. The record is from RNAcentral.
GAUGAACGCUAGCGGUGUGCCUAAUGCAUGCAAGUCGAACGGGAUCCUUUGGAUUCGUCUGAAGGUGAGAGUGGCGAACGGGUGAGUAACACGUAGGUGACCUGCCCCGGAGAGGGGGACAACCACUGGAAACGGUGGCUAAUACCCCAGAUGUUAUUGCGCUUAGAAAGCAAUUACUAAAGUUCCGGCGCUCCGGGAGGGGCCUGCGGCCCAUCAGCUUGUUGGUAAGGUAAUGGCUUACCAAGGCUAAGACGGGUAGGGGGCGUGAGAGCGUGACCCCCCACACUGGUACUGAGACACGGACCAGAUACCUGCGGGUAGCAGCAGCAAGGAAUAUUGCCCAAUGGACGAAAGUCUGAGGCAGCAACACCGCGUGGAGGAUGAAGGCCUGGUGUAACU